CGUAGUUGGAUCAACGGAUUUUGAGAAUGGUCUGCCGAUGGGCUGUACUGUUCUCCUGUCCUAUUUUCUCUAGUUCGCUCUAGGUGCUCUUCACUGAGUGUCUAGAGUGGCUGGAACUUUUACUUUGAAAAAAUUAGAGUGCUCAAAGCAGGCGUCUCAACCCUGAAUAGUGGUGCAUGGAAUAAUGGAAUAGGACCUCAGUUCUAUUUUGUUGGUUUUCGGAACAUGAGGUAAUGAUUAAGAGGGACAGACGGGGGCAUCCCGUAUUGCGACGUUAGAGGUGAAAUUCUUGGAUCGUCGCAAGACGAACUACUGCGAAAGCAUUUGCCAAGAAUGUUUUCAUUAAUCAAGGACGAUAGUUAGAGGUUCGAAGGCGAUCAGAUACCGCCCUAGUUCUAACCGUAAACGAUGUCAACCAGCGAUCCGCAGGAGUUAUUCAUGACUCUGCGGGCAGCUUCCGGGAAACCAAAGUUUUUGGAUUCCGGGGGGAGUAUGGUUGCAAAGCUGAAACUUAAAGGAAUUGACGGAAGGGCACCACCAAGGAGUGGAGCCUGCGGCUUAAUUUGACUCAACGCGGGGAAACUCACCCGGCCCGGACACCGUAAGGAUUGACAGAUUGAGAGCUCUUUCUUGAUUCGGUGGGUGGUGGUGCAUGGCCGUUCUUAGUUGGUGGAGCGAUUUGUCUGGUUAAUUCCGAUAACGAACGAGACUCUAGCCUACUAAAUAGAAGGCAAAUUAUUCGUUUGCUGUACUUCUUAGAGGGACUACGCGGGCGUCUAGCCUCACGAGAUUGAGCAAU
Molecule: ribosomal RNA, 799 nt
Filed under: uncultured Rhabdolaimus
Lineage: Eukaryota; Metazoa; Nematoda; Enoplea; Enoplida; Rhabdolaimidae
Description: SSU rRNA
Rfam family: Eukaryotic small subunit ribosomal RNA
Source: RNAcentral